Molecule: long non-coding RNA, 343 nt
Filed under: Nicotiana benthamiana
Lineage: Eukaryota; Viridiplantae; Streptophyta; Magnoliopsida; Solanales; Solanaceae
Description: long non-coding RNA (NBEN_LNC027601)
Source: RNAcentral
CUGACUCACCGGUCGAAUCACUUUCAUACACAUCACAAGAACUUUCAUCUCCAGCAUAUCCUUUAAAACCAGAACUUCUAAAAUAUCCAUCCCCACCAUCAGAAGGCCCAAAAGAGUCCCGCAUCCGCCUCGUAAUUUCUUUUGCAAUAUCCCUUGCUUCUUUUGACUUGGGCCUUGAUAUCCCCAUAUUCUUAGAUGAACUUUUCUCUUCCUCUAGUCCUGCUCCCCCAGGUGCACCAUCAGAAGGCCCAAAAGAGUCUCGCAUCCGCCUCGUAAUUUCCUUUGCAAUAUCCCUUGCUUCUUUUGACUUGGGCCUUGAUAUCCCCAAAUGCUUAGAUGAUUU